GAUGAACGCUGGCGGCGUGCCUAAUACAUGCAAGUCGAGCGAACAGAUGAGGAGCUUGCUCCUCUGACGUUAGCGGCGGACGGGUGAGUAACACGUGGAUAACCUACCUAUAAGACUGGGAUAACUUCGGGAAACCGGAGCUAAUACCGGAUAAUAUAUUGAACCGCAUGGUUCAAUAGUGAAAGACGGUUUUGCUGUCACUUAUAGAUGGAUCCGCGCCGCAUUAGCUAGUUGGUAAGGUAACGGCUUACCAAGGCAACGAUGCGUAGCCGACCUGAGAGGGUGAUCGGCCACACUGGAACUGAGACACGGUCCAGACUCCUACGGGAGGCAGCAGUAGGGAAUCUUCCGCAAUGGGCGAAAGCCUGACGGAGCAACGCCGCGUGAGUGAUGAAGGUCUUCGGAUCGUAAAGCUCUGUUAUUAGGGAAGAACAAAUGUGUAAGCAACUAUGCACGUCUUGACGGUACCUAAUCAGAAAGCCACGGCUAACUACGUG
RNAcentral lists this ribosomal RNA (497 nucleotides) under uncultured bacterium. Its description in RNAcentral is "partial 16S ribosomal RNA". It matches the Rfam family "Bacterial small subunit ribosomal RNA", at positions 28 to 507 of the family's 1533-position model. The record is from RNAcentral.